Molecule: long non-coding RNA, 368 nt
Filed under: Salmo salar (Atlantic salmon)
Lineage: Eukaryota; Metazoa; Chordata; Actinopteri; Salmoniformes; Salmonidae
Description: lncRNA (ENSSSAG00000099079.1)
Source: RNAcentral
AGGGUCCUGAGGCUUCAGUGUGUUAGUAGAACAGGUUUGUGAACUCAGCCCCAGGACCAGCUGGAUGAGGGUCCUGAGGCUUCAGUGUUUUAGUAGAACAGGUUUGUGAACUCAGCCCCAGGACCAGCUGGAUGAGGGUCCUGAGGCUUCAGUGUGUUAGUAGAACAGGUUAGUGAACUCAGCCCCAGGACCAGCUGGAUGAGGGUCCUGAGGCUUCAGUGUGUUUAGUAGAACAGGUUAGUGAACUCAGCCCCAGGACCAGCUGGAUGAGGGUCCUGAGGUUUCAGUGUGUUAGUAGAACAGGUUUGUGAACUCAGCCCCAGGACCAGCUGGAUGAGGGUCCUGAGGCUUCAGUGUGUUAGUAGAAC